UACGGAGGGUGCGAGCGUUGUCCGGAAUCACUGGGCGUAAAGGGCGCGUAGGCGGCCUGGCAAGUCGAUGGUGAAAGCCCGAGGCUCAACUUCGGGUCGGCCACUGAUACUGCUGGGCUUGAGUCGACUAGAGGCAGAUGGAAUUCCGGGUGUAGCGGUGGAAUGCGUAGAGAUCCGGAAGAACACCGGUGGCGAAGGCGGUCUGCUGGGGUCGAACUGACGCUGAGGCGCGACAGCGUGGGGAGCGAACGGG
Molecule: ribosomal RNA, 253 nt
Filed under: uncultured bacterium
Lineage: Bacteria
Description: partial 16S ribosomal RNA
Rfam family: Bacterial small subunit ribosomal RNA
Source: RNAcentral